This 407-nucleotide ribosomal RNA is filed under the name uncultured bacterium. RNAcentral describes it as "bacterial SSU rRNA". It matches the Rfam family "Bacterial small subunit ribosomal RNA", at positions 355 to 776 of the family's 1533-position model. The record is from RNAcentral.
UCGAGAAUUUUUCACAAUGGGGGAAACCCUGAUGGAGCGACGCCGCGUGGAGGACGAAGGCCUUCGGGUCGUAAACUCCUGUCAUGCGGGAACAAGAAAGUGAUAGUACCGCAAGAGGAAGAGACGGCUAACUCUGUGCCAGCAGCCGCGGUAAUACAGAGGUCUCAAGCGUUGUUCGGAUUUAUUGGGCGUAAAGAGCGCGUAGGCGGUUUAUCAAGUCAGAUGUGAAAGCCCUGGGCUCAACCUGGGAAGUGCAUUUGAAACUAGUAGACUUGAGUAUGGGAGAGGGAAGUGGAAUUCCUGGUGUAGAGGUGAAAUUCGUAGAUAUGUGGAGGAAUACCAAUGGCGAAGGCAGCCCCCUGGGAUAACACUGACGCUCAUGCACGAAAGCGUGGGGAGCAAACAGG